RNAcentral lists this ribosomal RNA (424 nucleotides) under uncultured bacterium. Its description in RNAcentral is "bacterial SSU rRNA". It matches the Rfam family "Bacterial small subunit ribosomal RNA", at positions 355 to 794 of the family's 1533-position model. The record is from RNAcentral.
UCGGGAAUAUUGGGCAAUGGAGGAAACUCUGGCCCAGCAAUACCGCGUGAGCGAUGAAGGUAAUUUUAUUGUAAAGCUCUUUUCUCAGUCAAGAAUAAAUGACUAGCUGAGGAAUAAGCCCCGGCUAACUACGUGCCAGCAGCCGCGGUAAUACGUAGGGGGCGAGCGUUGUCCGGAAUUACUGGGCGUAAAGGGUGUGUAGGCGGUUUGGUAAGUUAGAAGUGUAAUACCCAGGGCUUAACUCGGGUGCUGCUUCUAAAACUGUCAGACUUGAGUGCAGGAGAGGUAAGUGGAAUUCCUAGUGUAGCGGUGGAAUGCGUAGAUAUUAGGAGGAACAUCAGUGGCGAAAGGCGACUUACUGGACUGUAACUGACGCUGAGGCACGAAAGCGUGGGUAGCAAACAGGAUUAGAUACCCUGGUAGU